GCUGGAACACGGCGGCUCUUCUUUCUUCCACUCUGAGACAAGAACACAUGCGCUUUUCCUGUAAGUGUUGUCUCCCCAGUUAUUCUGGAGACCAUCCAGAAGAGAAUGAGAAUAAAGAAACCAACAGAAGAAAGAUAAAGAAGGAAGAAUAAAAGAUACCAAAAUGACAGUAUCGCUUGCUUCGGAGAGUUUCACUCUUGUGGCCCAGUCCGGAGUGCAGUGGCACCAUCUCAGCUCAUUGCAACCUCCGCCUCCCCGGUUCAAGCGAUUCUCCUGCCUCAGCCUCCCGAGUAGCUGGGAUUACAGGUACCCGCCACCAUGCCCAGCUAAGUUUUUGUAUUUUUUAGUAGAGACGGGGUUUCACCAUGUUAGCCAGGAUGGAUGUUCUCGAUCUCCUGACCUCGUGAUCCACCUGCCUCGGCCUCCCAAAGUGCUGGGAUUACAGGCGUGAGCCA
RNAcentral lists this non-coding RNA (455 nucleotides) under Pan troglodytes (chimpanzee). Lineage: Eukaryota; Metazoa; Chordata; Mammalia; Primates; Hominidae. The record is from RNAcentral.